RNAcentral lists this ribosomal RNA (539 nucleotides) under uncultured bacterium. RNAcentral's name for it is "bacterial SSU rRNA". It matches the Rfam family "Bacterial small subunit ribosomal RNA", at positions 59 to 598 of the family's 1533-position model. The record is from RNAcentral.
AUGUCGAACGAGGCACUUGUGCCUAGUGGCAAAUGGGUGAGUAACACGUACCUAAUCUGCCCUUUAGAUUGGGAUAACUAUCGGAAACGAUAGCUAAUACCAAAUAUUCUUAUUUACACAAGUAAAUGUAGUAAAAGGAGCUUUUGCUCCACUAAAGGAUGAGGGUGCGGCAUAUUAGCUAGUUGGUAGGGUAAAAGCCUACCAAGGCGAUGAUAUGUAGCGGGGUCGAGAGGCUGAACCGCCACACUGGGACUGAGAUACGGCCCAGACUCCUACGGGAGGCAGCAGUAGGGAAUAUUUCACAAUGAGCGAAAGCUUGAUGAAGCGACACAUCGUGCAGGAAGAAGGCCUUCGGGUUGUAAACUGCUGUUGUAAGGGAAGAACAGCACUAGUAGGAAGUGAUUAGUGUCUGACGGUACCUUAUCAGAAAGCACCGGCAAACUAUGUGCCAGCAGCCGCGGUAAUACAUAGGGUGCAAGCGUUAUCCGGAAUUAUUGGGCGUAAAGCGUCUGUAGGUGGUUAAUAAAGUCUAAUGUUAA